UUAAUGAAGCAUUAUUUCGGAAG
RNAcentral lists this transfer RNA (23 nucleotides) under Pristimantis paramerus. RNAcentral describes it as "partial tRNA-Leu". RNAcentral also lists the same sequence under 2 other names. Lineage: Eukaryota; Metazoa; Chordata; Amphibia; Anura; Strabomantidae. The record is from RNAcentral.